UAAUACGUAGGCAGCGAGCGUUGUUCGGAGUUACUGGGCGUAAAGAGUGCGUAGGCGGUGCGGUAAGUCUGGUGUGAAAUCUCCCGGCUCAACUGGGAGGGUGCGCUAGAAACUGCCGUGCUAGAGUGUGGGAGAGGUAAGCGGAAUUCCUGGUGUAGCGGUGAAAUGCGUAGAUAUCAGGAGGAACACCUGCGGUGUAGACAGCUUACUGGACCAUAACUGACGCUGAGGCACGAAAGCGUGGGUAGCAAACAGGAUUAGAUACCCUGGUAGUCCACGCCCUAAACGAUGCAUACUUGGUGUGGGUGAUUCAUUUCAUCCGUGCCGGAGCUAACGCGUUAAGUAUGCCGCCUGGGGAGUACGGUCGCAAGGCUG
This 375-nucleotide ribosomal RNA is filed under the name uncultured bacterium. RNAcentral's name for it is "bacterial SSU rRNA". It matches the Rfam family "Bacterial small subunit ribosomal RNA", at positions 521 to 896 of the family's 1533-position model. The record is from RNAcentral.